RNAcentral lists this long non-coding RNA (1435 nucleotides) under Chinchilla lanigera (long-tailed chinchilla). RNAcentral describes it as "lncRNA (ENSCLAG00000028829.1)". The record is from RNAcentral. Lineage: Eukaryota; Metazoa; Chordata; Mammalia; Rodentia; Chinchillidae.
UCAAGACCAGCCUGAACUGCAUAGUGAGGCCCUGUCUCAAAAAGACAAAAAAAAAAAAAGGUCAUCACUGUCUCUGGUUAUUGCUUUAUUUUUAAUUUACCUGGCUUUUUAGUUUCAGACUCACUUUUACAAUGAUAUAAAAUGAUAAAGCUAACAAGUGGAUUGUACAAAAUGUAGAUGAUAGGAAACUGGGAGCUAAAUACUGCAGAGAUGGAAAGUGGAUCUGGAGACUGGGGGAGAAUGAAGAGCAAAGAGGGGAGGGAGAAAUAAACAGGAUUGAGACAGGAUGUGUGCUGUACCUGCUCUCUACAGUGAACAUAGUGAUCAUGCAUUAAUGUCAUUCUCAUCACAUAUUCCAUACAAUGCAACAAACUAAAGAUAUCAAGUUGCACCACAUCAGCACUUCCUAAAGUUAUUUUUAAAAAACUCUGCCUAAGUGUUGUAUUCUGUCCCAAAUGUGCAGAAGCUCAGAGCACUUUUCCAGGGGUCCCGAGGACUCUUACCAAGAGGACUUGCUGCUCUGUAUCCAUCUUACCACAUGUUUAUUUUCUAUUUUUCCUCUCAGUACAGGAAUUUUGAUCAAAGAGUAUAAUGACUAUGCUCUAGAAUUAUAAUUUCCACUGCUGUAUUAUUCUUUAGAGCAAGUUCUCAGCAGUGAGAAGAUUAGGAGUUAGAGAAAGAGUGCUUGGAAAUCAGAAAUCAAUGAAAGAGAAUUUUGAAACAUGCAAUUUUAUCUUCAUAAGAAAUGAGUUACAGUUGGUCUGGAAAGUGAUGAUAGUUUUCUUUGGGUAGGAAUUCAAGAUAAAGAAAACUGGGCAGCAUGAGAUGAAGACAUAGAAAUUGCUUGGAGUUUGUGAGCUUUUGUCGUCCAAAGGAAGGGAACUGUGUUGAAGAACAUUCAUUUUAAGGACAGUACAUCUGCAGUCAUGCAAAGGAUCACAGCUUGUAUAAAGCAAUAUCAUCAACAGCAUCAUUAUGGUCAUUCAAGACAUAGACCCCAGUGAUCCAUCUGAGCUAUGUUGUGUGCAGAAAACAACGAUUAAACCAUGGUAUAUUGUAGGGGUGCUCCAGAUGAUAGGUGGUGUGGCACUGAAUGUCCUGUGGGCAGUAGUCAUUUCCAACUCAUCUCAUUAUGAACUUUCUAUGAAACAGUCAGACCCUGUAUUGCCGUACAUCUAUCUCUUGGUGCCUCUCAUUUAUGUCUCAUCAGGAAUUCUGACCGUUAUGGCUGAAAACACACAGAAUAUCAAUGUGAUUGUGGCCUUCAUAUUGGUAAAAUUUGUGAGCUUUCUAGCUUCGCUGGCAUUCACAGUAAUGCAUGGUGCAAAUUCAUUUGCAUUUGCACGGAUGAAAGCUAUAUUCCCUGCAGACAUCGCAUCUGUAAGUAUUUCCACAUCCAGGGAUGCAAUUUCUUGGCAUUUACCCACAUUCAAAG